This 492-nucleotide ribosomal RNA is filed under the name uncultured bacterium. Its description in RNAcentral is "partial 16S ribosomal RNA". It matches the Rfam family "Bacterial small subunit ribosomal RNA", at positions 29 to 507 of the family's 1533-position model. The record is from RNAcentral.
AGUGAACGCUGGCGGUAGGCCUAACACAUGCAAGUCGAACGGCAGCACAGUAAGAGCUUGCUCUUACGGGUGGCGAGUGGCGGACGGGUGAGGAAUACAUCGGAAUCUACUUUUUCGUGGGGGAUAACGUAGGGAAACUUACGCUAAUACCGCAUACGACCUACGGGUGAAAGCAGGGGAUCUUCGGACCUUGCGCGAUUGAAUGAGCCGGUGUCGGAUUAGCUAGUUGGCGGGGUAAAGGCCCACCAAGGCGACGAUCCGUAGCUGGUCUGAGAGGAUGAUCGGCCACACUGGAACUGAGACACGGUCCAGACUCCUACGGGAGGCAGCAGUGGGGAAUAUUGGACAAUGGGCGCAAGCCUGAUCCAGCCAUACCGCGUGAGUGAAGAAGGCCUUCGGAUUGUAAAGCCCUUUUAUUGGGAAAGAAAAGAAGCGGAUUAAUCCCCCGCUGUUCUGACGGUACCGAAAGAGUAAGCAACGGCUAACUUCGUG